RNAcentral lists this unclassified non-coding RNA (154 nucleotides) under Ascobolus furfuraceus. RNAcentral's name for it is "partial internal transcribed spacer 2". The record is from RNAcentral. Lineage: Eukaryota; Fungi; Ascomycota; Pezizomycetes; Pezizales; Ascobolaceae.
AAUCAAUCAAACUUUAGUUUGGUAUUGGGAGAAGUGGUUAUGCCUCUCUCCUUUAAGCUAUUGGCGACACUAUUUCAGCUUGUAAGACGUAGUAAGCAAUUUCUCGUUAAAGCAGCUGUAUAGGCGUCUGCCAACUGAACGAUUUAUUUUUUAA